UCCCAUGUGGUCUAGAGGUUAUGAUGUCUGGUUUUCACCCAGAAGAUCACGAGUUCGAAUCUCGUCAUGGGAA
Molecule: transfer RNA, 73 nt
Filed under: Cryptomonas paramaecium
Lineage: Eukaryota; Cryptophyceae; Cryptomonadales; Cryptomonadaceae
Description: Cryptomonas paramecium tRNA-Glu
Rfam family: tRNA
About the family: Transfer RNA (tRNA) molecules are approximately 80 nucleotides in length. Their secondary structure includes four short double-helical elements and three loops (D, anti-codon, and T loops).
Source: RNAcentral